ACGGAAGGCAGCAGUGGGGGAUAUUGCACAAUGGGGGAAACCCUGAUGCAGCGACGCCGCGUGAGUGAUGAAGUAUUUCGGUAUGUAAAGCUCUAUCAGCAGGGAAGAAAAUGACGGUACCUGACUAAGAAGCUCCGGCUAAAUACGUGCCAGCAGCCGCGGUAAUACGUAUGGAGCAAGCGUUAUCCGGAUUUACUGGGUGUAAAGGGAGCGUAGACGGUGACGCAAGUCUGAAGUGAAAGGUGUGGGCUCAACCCGCAAACUGCUUUGGAAACUGUGUGACUAGAGUGUCGGAGAGGUAAGUGGAAUUCCUAGUGUAGCGGUGAAAUGCGUAGAUAUUAGGAGGAACACCAGUGGCGAAGGCGGCUUACUGGACGAUAACUGACGUUGAGGCUCGAAAGCGUGGGGAGCAAACAGGAUUAGAUACCCUGGUA
RNAcentral lists this ribosomal RNA (434 nucleotides) under uncultured bacterium. RNAcentral's name for it is "partial 16S ribosomal RNA". It matches the Rfam family "Bacterial small subunit ribosomal RNA", at positions 341 to 792 of the family's 1533-position model. The record is from RNAcentral.